CGUCGCAUGUUAGAUAGUCCGAGAUAUAAUUUUCAGUUACAUAGAUAAACAAGACAAGACAUCCCCAAAGCCAUAAUCCAAAUCCAGUUACAUGGAUAAACAAAAUGAAGCAAGUCAACGGGUUAACAAAAUAAGCAGCUGAAAUCAGGUAGGAAACAACCAAAUGCCUGCUGCAUCUAUAACUCAUAUUACAGAUCUGUGCAAGUGGCGAACAAAAUCAGAAUCCCCAACAUACAGUACAAAGCAACAUCACAGUUCCAACCUUGCUCCAAAUCAGAUCUGCUACUUCUUCUUGGGGAGAUGGUAGGGGAGGCACCGCUCCAAGGAGAUGGGAGGGGAGGCGCGGCUGCUGCUUCUUCUUCGGGAGCGACGAGGAGAGCCGCUACCUGGAGUGCGCGACGGCGGCAACAGGCGAGGCCAGCACUGCUCGGGGUUGCAGAUGCGCUCGGGGCAUCUCACACAGCAAGGGCGGUUCGACGGAAAUCGUUCAGUUCACCGGUUUUCGACAAAACCAUCUGGUUCACCC
Molecule: long non-coding RNA, 526 nt
Filed under: Brachypodium distachyon (stiff brome)
Lineage: Eukaryota; Viridiplantae; Streptophyta; Magnoliopsida; Poales; Poaceae
Description: long non-coding RNA (BDIS_LNC005621)
Source: RNAcentral